This 711-nucleotide ribosomal RNA is filed under the name Erwinia persicina. Its description in RNAcentral is "bacterial SSU rRNA". It matches the Rfam family "Bacterial small subunit ribosomal RNA", at positions 469 to 1175 of the family's 1533-position model. The record is from RNAcentral. Lineage: Bacteria; Pseudomonadati; Pseudomonadota; Gammaproteobacteria; Enterobacterales; Erwiniaceae.
UUGACUUUCCCCCCAAGAAGAAGCACGGGCUAACUUCCGUGCCCAGCAGCCGCGGUUAAUCCGGAGGGUGCCAGCCUUUAUUGGAAUUACUGGGCGUAAAGCGCACGCCGGCGGUCUGUCAAGUCGGAUGUGAAAUCCCCGGGCUCAACCUGGGAACUGCAUUCGAAACUGGCAGGCUAGAGUCUUGUAGAGGGGGGUAGAAUUCCAGGUGUAGCGGUGAAAUGCGUAGAGAUCUGGAGGAAUACCGGUGGCGAAGGCGGCCCCCUGGACAAAGACUGACGCUCAGGUGCGAAAGCGUGGUGAGCAAACAGGAUUAGAUACCCUGGUAGUCCACGCCGUAAACGAUGUCGACUUGGAGGUUGUGCCCUUGAGGCGUGGCUUCCGGAGCUAACGCGUUAAGUCGACCGCCUGGGGAGUACGGCCGCAAGGUUAAAACUCAAAUGAAUUGACGGGGGCCCGCACAAGCGGUGGAGCAUGUGGUUUAAUUCGAUGCAACGCGAAGAACCUUACCUGGCCUUGACAUCCACGGAAUUCGGCAGAGAUGCCUUAGUGCCUUCGGGAACCGUGAGACAGGUGCUGCAUGGCUGUCGUCAGCUCGUGUUGUGAAAUGUUGGGUUAAGUCCCGCAACGAGCGCAACCCUUAUCCUUUGUUGCCAGCACGUAAUGGUGGGAACUCAAAGGAGACUGCCGGUGAUAAACCGGAGGAAGGUG